AUGUUCCUGUCCACCCCACUUCCCCAUCCCUUUCUCUUUCCUGAGUAAAAAAAAGGUUGCGACGAUUCGCGUCUAUCGACAACGAACAACACGGGUGACGGCGGCGUGGUGCUCGGCGAAUUGGGGCGGCCUGCCUGGUGGAGCGCUGUGCUGCUCGCCGGGUGGUCUCGACCUAGGGUGGUUGUUCAGCGAAUUGGGGCGGCCUGGUGUGCGGCGUCUGCCUAGGUCUAGUGCGGCGCUGUCCGCGAAGCUGUGGCAGGCAAUUGCGUCGGCAGUACUGUUGUUUGGAUUGAAAUUUGGUUUGGUGCACGAGGGGAGUUCUUGUAAGAGCUGGUACUCAGAAGACUGUUGCUUUUGUUAAAGCAGGGAUCGAGGCUUUUGUCAAAAAAGGAAUACUCCAUUUUUUCACGGUGGUGGGUGGUCGUCGAUCGCAGUAGGCUUACCAGUCGUGCAACAUCUCUUGUAGUCCUCGUGGCCAGGUUACAUUGACCGUUGGCUUGCUUGUUGAUGUGGUCUGCAUCUCCUCCCAGCAAGACGGUCGUCAAGCAGGCCUUAGCCGCUGGAGCUCUCAAGACGAUAAAUCAGAAGUUUAAGGUUCCUUUGUUCUUGGUCAGAAUUCAGAAGUUUAAUGAUUAUUACCAUGAAGUAAUUAAGCUUUUCAUGUCAACUGGAGACAAAGAAACCUACAUGCUUCUUAUGGCUACACAUGACAGAAAGACCUACCUCUAAAGAUUGGAGGAUGUUCGCCAAUAUUUACAGAUUGACUAUGGAAGAAAUUUUUACAUGAAGGAAAAGCUUCGCCUCUCUGUCUUGUUUCUCUGUUUACUUUUGAUUCAUACCUGUAGCCAGCAUGUUCAUGUGAUUUUACUGAAAUUGGUACAUCCAAACUUCGCUUGUUAUAACUUAGGUUUUAAAUCUUUUUUUCAGAUUAUGGUAGUAAAUCCUCAGUCUACCUUCAAGUGUGAUAUAUUCUUGUUUGUUGGUGGCCUCUACCUUCAAGUGAAUGACAACAAAUGUAUGAGGGAUAGAGAGAAAUGAGUUUUCUGGAAUAUGUCUCCGUAUUUUAGUGUAUGGUGGGUACAAGUAGUGGUAGAUUCAAAAUUUAGACCUUUUACCAAUAAUCCGUAGCAAAAUUUACGACUGCUGAGAAGAGAGGUGAACCUAAAGGCUUCAGUGCUAUUCUUAGGAUACUAUUUUGCUUCCAGGCCAUGGAUAAGAAUGGUUCAGUCCAUUGAGGGAUUGUUGAACAUGUGAGAAAUUGUUAAGCUGCUUGAAGACCAUGUUCAAAUAUGUGUUUUUUUUUAA
This is a non-coding RNA of Aegilops tauschii subsp. strangulata, 1305 nucleotides long. The record is from RefSeq and is a predicted model, not a curated record. NCBI's taxonomy places the organism in Eukaryota, Viridiplantae, Streptophyta, Magnoliopsida, Poales, Poaceae.